Molecule: transfer RNA, 71 nt
Filed under: Candidatus Kaiserbacteria bacterium RIFCSPHIGHO2_01_FULL_49_13
Lineage: Bacteria; Candidatus Kaiseribacteriota
Description: tRNA-Pro
Rfam family: tRNA
About the family: Transfer RNA (tRNA) molecules are approximately 80 nucleotides in length.
Source: RNAcentral
CGGGGCGUAGUACAGCGGUAGUAUACGUGCUUUGGGAGCACGGGACCCGAGUUCGAUUCUCGGCGCCCCGA